This 497-nucleotide long non-coding RNA is filed under the name Physcomitrium patens. Its description in RNAcentral is "long non-coding RNA (PPAT_LNC009604)". Lineage: Eukaryota; Viridiplantae; Streptophyta; Bryopsida; Funariales; Funariaceae. The record is from RNAcentral.
AGCAUUAAGAUCAAACAAAACCCGUUACGAAUAAGCACUACAAUAAGAUGUUCAUGUCCAAAAGCAUGGCCACUAUCAAAAGUGAGGAAAAUACAUUACCUUUGAUAGGCGUCCAGAAUCAAGAUCCCUUCUAAACUUGGUCUCCAAUGCUCGACUAACAGUAUCCACCUCUUUCAUGGGUACCGCAAAGCACACCGAGUGUUCACUACUGGCCUGCACGUAAUGUAAGUAAUGUUGUCAAUUUAGCUAUUUUUUUAGAUGAUAAUAAUAGUGAUAAUAAUUGUAAAACACCUUAUCCGGACCUAUCUCUGUGUGCUCUUGGAUAACUCUACAUACCAAAACCUUAACGUUAAAAUGCUCAGCACUGGCUCAAAAGGAAAAGAACAUAUCAAAGCCGAAAGUGAUCUCACCUGGGAGAUCAUGACCACGUUCGCACCCACACCUUUCACAGCGUCGAAAAUAUCACUUGCUGUUCCAGGAACUCCUGCCAUGCCUGU